This is a non-coding RNA of Lactuca sativa (garden lettuce), 3508 nucleotides long. The record is from RefSeq and is a predicted model, not a curated record. NCBI's taxonomy places the organism in Eukaryota, Viridiplantae, Streptophyta, Magnoliopsida, Asterales, Asteraceae.
GCUUACUGAUUUUGCCACGGGAAGGUUGCUUUAAACAAACUUUUACAUUUGUCAUUUGUACCCCUUUUUUUCCUUCGCUUUCUGCUUUUGCCACCGGAUAUUUUUUUUAGUCUUCACCGUCUUAAAGAACCGCCUUACAGAACCGCCUUAAAGUAAUUGUAGAUAGACGUUGGCUUCUCGGUAUAUGUUGCCUUCUAAUUUCAGUUUCCACCUCGCGCUUUUGGAUUUCUGUUUCUCCCUAUCUUGCGAUUGUGUUCCUUUCUUGCGGUUUUGAUUGUUUUGUUUGACGUUUUCUGGUCUUCAUCAUUCACUUGUAAUUCCUUUGAUGGGUUCUGAUUUUGAUUGUUCUGUACAAAGAUUUGAGGCGAUGAUGAGCUUUGUUUGUGAAAAAAAAUUGCAACGUCGACCAUGGGUGAAGUUGAAGGCCGUAUUUUGGCAAGGUAACUCGGAAGGCAUAUCCGAUUGGAAUAUGCAACCGGUGUUUGCAGCCAUACCGCCUUUCAUUCCCUUUUUUUGAGCUUCCUCUCACUAAAAAUCACUGUCGUAUUUUUUAUUUGGGCUUUCAGCUAAAGCUGAAAUCUGUUUUUAUGAUUUUCGAUUUUGAAAAUUCUGGUGGUUUCUUUGGUUACAACAUAUGAAACAGAUUUGAAUAUGCACAUCAACUGUUUGAUGAAAUGCUUCAAAGAACCGGUAAGGUUACGCACGCUGAGAUUCUAACCAAUGCGUUUGUCAAGUAUGGUGAGAUCGAAGAUUGUAAGGUGGUGUGAAGUAUGGAGGAAACCAUUUACCUAAUGUGCUCUCUUUUAUGAUAAUCUCUUUGAAUAAGGCAAUUCUUUUAUGAUAAUCUCUUUUAUGCUAUUAUUUCCUUUUAGGGUUUGAUUGGAUGGAUGGAAUGAAAUGUGUUAUUACAUUCCAUAAUCAUGUUUUGUUGGCCAGUAGGAAGCUAAUGAAUUUUCAUUUAAACUUUUUUAUAGUAUAUGUAAAUGUGUACAAAAAUACAAAAUUAACCAUACUAAAAGUUUAUUAAAAUUUAAAACUCAGAUCAGAUUAUAAUAUAAAAUAGUGUUAAUUGCGUAAAAUACAACAUUUUGACCUUUUUUGGGGUAAGACCUAAAAUUUUAAUUUACAAUCUAAACCAAAAUCGUGACCUAACUUUCCGUUUUUGCCUUUUUACGUAAAAGAUUUUGUCUCUUUGAAAAAGUGGUCAACAUAUUAUUUCUUUUAUGCAAAUAAGUAUAAAAUAUUUUUUGCAUAAAAGACACAACAUUUUGAUAACUUAAAAAAAUGUUCGUGUUUUCCAUUCAAUCAACCGCUAAAUAAAUAUAGUUAAUUUCUAGAAAAAAAUGAGUUACUAAAAUCAUGAAAGGUCAAAAAAAAAUUAUGUCAUUAAAUAUUACUUAAAUAUAAAUGGGUUAUUUUCUAACCGGAAUCAACCAUUCCAUUCCAUUGCUUCCCCAAUUCCAUGAUACAAAACAUUACCAGUUUCUUUCCCAAAUUACCCUUUGGUUUUCUCUUACAAUCCAAUAAAUGUAGCCUUUUUUUUUCUACGUAAGUUAUUGGGCUCCAAUUCAUCUGUAUAUUGAUGUUUGUUGUUUUGCAUUAAUGUGUUUCCGUGUGGUUGUUUCAUUGAUACUCUUAUAAACUUGAAUGAUGAAGUUUUUACUAUUUAUUGAGGAUGCAUGUAGUCUUACAUGCAUUAAAGUUUCCUAAUUGUACAAGUUUUCUAUUGAUUGUAAAAAAGAAAUCAUGAACCCCAUUUUUUCUUCGUUUUGGUUUUAGUCAUCAGGUUUCCUUUUAGGUGACAUUUCCCCAAACCCAUUAGUUACUUGCUGUUUCUGUGGUUAGAAUUUAUAUUUGUUAUCUUACUGUCUUAUUCUAAUCUUCCAAUAGCUUGUUAGACUUUCUUUAUUUAUGUAUAAGUUAUUUGACUCCAAUUCAAAUGUAUUUUGCAGUAAAUGCCUUUUUUGUAAUUUAAUUGUUGAUUUUGUGCUUUGGUUUUGAUUGGUUCAUGUCUUUGUGCUUUGGAGCGAUUAUUUAAAAAGUUUCUUAUCAUACUAAUUUUCUGUAGUUUACAUAACAAAUGUUGAACCAUUUUGUCAUUUUGAUGCUUUAGUUGCUGAUUAUUUACUUUCAAUUGUUUUAGACCGAUUGUUUUAUAAAUUUGAUAAAAUUGGAUUCUUUACUAUUUUUGAUGACACAUUGUGUAAUCUUACAUACAUAAAGAAUUCCUAACUAUACAACAAACAAUGAACCAUUUUGCUCCUUUUUGGUUUGACUUAUCAGGUUUUGCUUUUUUUUAAGGGACUUUAGGUAAACCAUUAAUCAGCUUAUCAAAGUUUCAUUUUACAUUUUUAUAUUAGGCGAUGUUGAGAAUUCUGUUGAUGUUUAGAAUAAGUAAAAUUUUGAGUUAAUAUUUAUUGACAUAUAUUUUUGUUCAACAAUUGACAAUAUUAAUGAACAAUUUCCAUUUUUAGCUAUUAUUAUGUGCGAUAUGUUUCACAUUUUUAAGCAGACCUUCUUUUCAUUAUAAAAGUAGCCACCUUUUAACCGACUGAAUCCGUAUUCAUUAUUUCAUUAUUUUUUAAAUUAAUUAAUAAGUUUGUCACUUUCAAUUGAAUGUAGUGCAGACUGUUCAAAAAUUGAUCAACUAGACAAAAAUUGACCCCACCCCAUUUGUCAAUCCUUUUUUUUUUUUAAUCUUAUAUGAAGUCAUUUGUUGUUUUUCUUUCUUGCAAACAUUUAAUUAUGUUGAUUAUGAGCAUGCUCGAUUUUUCUUUCAACAACUUAUAUUUGGUGUCAGCAACUGUCACUUUAUGAUUAUUGAAACUUUAAAAAUGUUAGUAAAUAGUAACAAACUUUUAUAUUUGUUCAAAUACAUAUCAUAAACUUACUUAAUUCAAUUUUGUUUCACUGUUAUGAAAUUUUGUAUUUUUGUUUGUUGAUUGUGGAAAGUUUAUGGAAAACAAAAAUUGUUAAAAUAGUAACCAAGUUUCAGUUUUGUUAUGAUAUUACAAAAAUGAUGAAAAAAAAAAAGUUUGAGGUACUGAGUUGAACAAAUUUUAAAUUUGGUUACUUUUUAAUGAAAAUAGUUUUGCUUUUUUUUUUUUAUAUUAUUAUUAUUAUUAUUAUUAUUUGGGUAGACUCUAAUGAUUUGAAUUUAUUUUAUCAUCAGUCAAGCAAGUUUGUGUACUCUAUGACAUUCAAGCAGUGGAAAAACAUUGAUGUGAACAAAUUUCAUAAAACUGAUGAUAGAUUUGGAUGAAAGUUGGUAUCUAUAUUAGUCCAAAUUGCAUCCCACAUCAGGUAGGAGAGAAUUGGUUCAAAUAACCAAAAAAAAAAAGAAACCCAGCGCCAAAGGCGCAUCUGAUUCCAUCUAGUUAUAUUAUUAUAGUGUAAUAUGUACAAAAAUAUUUACCAAAUGAUUGUGUAGCUUUUAACUUAUCAUUCCUACGUUUUUGCUAUUUAUCUUUGGAUGCAAAAUCAUUUGUUGUUAUCAUCUUAUCGUCUU